RNAcentral lists this ribosomal RNA (301 nucleotides) under uncultured bacterium. Its description in RNAcentral is "partial 16S ribosomal RNA". It matches the Rfam family "Bacterial small subunit ribosomal RNA", at positions 509 to 809 of the family's 1533-position model. The record is from RNAcentral.
CAGUCGCCGCGGUAAUACGAAGGGUGCAAGCGUUAAUCGGAAUUACUGGGCGUAAAGCGCGCGUAGGUGGUUCAUUAAGUUGGAUGUGAAAGCCCUGGGCUCAACCUGGGAACUGCAUCCAAAACUGGUGAGCUAGAGUACGGUAGAGGGUAGUGGAAUUUCCUGUGUAGCGGUGAAAUGCGUAGAUAUAGGAAGGAACACCAGUGGCGAAGGCGACUACCUGGACUGAUACUGACACUGAGGUGCGAAAGCGUGGGGAGCAAACAGGAUUAGAUACCCCCGUAGUCCCUGUCUCUUAUAA